GAGAAGACAGAGAAAAUUCAAAAGGCAAAGCAGUGAUGAGACGAAGAGUGGCUCUAAACAGUUUUGUCCUAGGGCGGCGCGGUCAUUAUUACACUCGAAGUUUACCCCCUCAUCAGUCGGGCAAUAACUGACGAGAAGGUAAAGGGGCAAUUGAUGACCGCUGGAUUUCUCCACCCCGGUCAGGGGCCAAGCCCUCGAUCACGGCCCAUCGCUCGGAGGCCCACACGACCCCAAUACAAACAGGUCCAGCCCGUUCGAACCUUGAUACAGGGUCCAUAUGGAUUUCUCAACCAGGCCGACCCAGUCC
Molecule: long non-coding RNA, 307 nt
Filed under: Manihot esculenta (cassava)
Lineage: Eukaryota; Viridiplantae; Streptophyta; Magnoliopsida; Malpighiales; Euphorbiaceae
Description: long non-coding RNA (MESC_LNC008450)
Source: RNAcentral